AGUGAACGCUGGCGGUAGGCCUAACACAUGCAAGUCGAACGGCAGCACAGUAAGAGCUUGCUCUUACGGGUGGCGAGUGGCGGACGGGUGAGGAAUACAUCGGAAUCUACUUUUUCGUGGGGGAUAACGUAGGGAAACUUACGCUAAUACCGCAUACGACCUACGGGUGAAAGCAGGGGAUCUUCGGACCUUGCGCGAUUGAAUGAGCCGAUGUCGGAUUAGCUAGUCGGCGGGGUAAAGGCCCACCAAGGCGACGAUCCGUAGCUGGUCUGAGAGGAUGAUCAGCCACACUGGAACUGAGACACGGUCCAGACUCCUACGGGAGGCAGCAGUGGGGAAUAUUGGACAAUGGGCGCAAGCCUGAUCCAGCCAUACCGCGUGGGUGAAGAAGGCCUUCGGGUUGUAAAGCCCUUUUGUUGGGAAAGAAAAGCAGCAGGUUAAUACCCCGCUGUUCUGGCGGUACCCAAAGAAUAAGCACCGGCUAACUUCGUG
Molecule: ribosomal RNA, 492 nt
Filed under: uncultured bacterium
Lineage: Bacteria
Description: partial 16S ribosomal RNA
Rfam family: Bacterial small subunit ribosomal RNA
Source: RNAcentral